CAAAUCUAGAUACAAAAAGAAAAAGAAAAACGUUCUGGAAUUCAAGGAAAAACAGUAGAGGUUUAGAGUGAUUUUGUAGUCAAACAGUUUGAAAAAAGGGAGAAAAAGUUGUGGUUUUUUCCUGUUGAUUCAAGGAAGCUUUGUUUGACAUUUCAGUGAAUUUCGAGUUCGGUUUCGAUCCGAAAUCGAAGUCGAGUAUGCUGUUCCUGAGCUGCUGAAUUCCGUGCUCAAUUCCAACCUUAUCUGGGUUGCUUUUUGCCGCAAUUUCCCUGCUAUUAGGUAUGUAUUCCUUUAAGCUAUGUUCAGACUUCAAAUUUACUAUGAGAUGGAAUUGCUUUAUUGUUUAUUUUUUACAAUGAUUUGGUAAUCAAAUGGUAUGCUUGAUUGUUUAUUGGUUACGCUUAUUAUAUGUGCAAUUCAUAUGAUGUAAAUAGAAGUGUAUUCAUAAGAUUCGGUUUUCUACAAACAUGUGCAAUUUAUAUGAUGUAAAUAGAAGUAUAUUCAAAAGAUUCAGUUUUCUACAAAUGGAAAAGAAAAAGAAUUUUUGUUUUCCACUUACUACUGUAUCUUAUAUUCGGUGGACUCACUGCUAAAAGGUAAAAAUUUGUCCCAUUUGAUAUCUUUGCCGUUUGUUCUUACAUAUAAUGAAAGCACAAAGUCUUAAAAAAAUUUAAAUGCUCGAGGUAUGAGCAAGAAGUCGAGGUUGUUUGUUUCUAACUAUGGGAUGACUUUUAACAUUACCUUUUUUUUUUUUUGAAAAAAGCCAACGGGGGGUUUGGUGGGAGAAGAUGUGAUCUGUUUGGUUAAUUGAUACUGGUAAGUGAUAGAAUCUGCUUAGUGAGCUUGGAGAUGGUCAAAUGCUAAAUUCUUAAAAAAUCUCUUUGAUAAACAGAGUAAAAAAGCCAACGGGAGGUUUGGUGGGAGAAGAUGUGAUCUGUUUGGUUAAUUGAUGCUGGUAAGUGACAGAAUAUGCUUAGUGAGCUUGGAGAUGGUCAAAUGCUAAAUUCUUAAUAAAUCUCUUUGCUAAACAGAGUAUAAAAUAUUUACAUGCUCUCUCACUAAGAAUUUUUAUUAUAUUUUAACAAACUAUUCGGUCUCUAUAGAAUCAUGGAACAGGAAUGCAGAACUGUUUGGGUAUAUAUUUAGGCAAAUUUAUACUUGGGAGCAGUAGUAAAAAAUGGAAUGUUGUUAGUAUCCAAUUUACUCCUACUUAAUGUUGAAAUGAGUGACUAUGUUACAUUUGUACACACAGUCCUUCCUUGUAUAUUCACCGUGUCGAACAAUUAAGUGUCCUCGAGUUUCCUUGAAAUUGAAUUGAUACAGAUUAAUAUAGAAAACAUGGAUAAAUGGAUAAUGUAAUCUUUUGAGUAUCAGCAUACAUGCACCUUGGUAAUUGAUAUUGGGAUGAUAAUUCUGAUGCUAUUUUGGAGGAGAUAUUGCCCUAAGAUAUUACCGAAUCACAUGGACUAUAAAAUUGUCUCUUUAUACAUAAUCUUGGCAAAAAUCAUCUCGUGUGAGGUUUUCUGCAUGUUAAAUACUGUUAUGGAGCCAAAACAUUCAUAUCAUUAAAGUGGCUUUCAUGUUAGUUCCAGAUUAAUACCAUGUAGCUAAUAUGCUUAUUAUUGAGUUCAUGUCACUUAUUUGUUCGAAUAAUCGGUAGCAAUACCUUAGGCAUGUUAUUAAUUCAAUCAAUUAUCUUGAUUGUAUAGACGUUUGCGUGACACGAUUACUAUUUAAAAAAUGAAUAUUUGUAUUUUGCUUUAGGCUUGAUUUAGACUAAUAUUGUGAUUAUGUAUACGUUUCCGUAACAUACUUGCAAAUUUAAUUCUAAAGUGACUAGAGGGAUGGUUCGCGCAACAUCAGCCAAACUUUUCUUAAUAAAUCAGCAAAAGCGUUAUUAAUUGUGGACAUGUAUGCGUGACAUGAUUUUUGACGCGCCAUAGGAAAAAGUAUACGUACGCGCAACUCAAUCAUUUAAUUAUGAAUAAUCAAGUGAUUUAAAAGAGGUAAAACGAUGAAUGCACAUAGGUCGUAAAUGAGUAGCUAAACAAUUUAAGCCAAGUAACAAUCACUAAGCGACCGUGCUAGAACCACGGAAGCCAGGAAUGCCUAACACAACACCUCCUAGAUAAACAGAAUUCCUUAUCUUGAAUUUCUGGUUCGCAGACUGUGAGUAGAGUCAACCUUUCUCGAUUUGGAAUUUAAAAUAAAUCAGUGACUUGGGACACCAAUUAAAAUAUUUCAAGUGGCGACUCUGAUAAAAAAAUGAAUGAAUAAUCCCAUUUCGAAUAAUGUCACUUAAUUGAAAAGAACUCCCUCUACACCCUUCCGGGGGUGUAGUGAAAAAGGAGUUGAGACAGCUACCGGCAUCGAAUUUGUUUUUGGGUAGUAAUGGCAGUCAACAGUUCCUACUGUGAGCGUCGAAGUGGUAGGGUAUAUCAUAUGUUUACAUCUUGGGUUAUGGGUAUGGCUUGAUACAGCUUGCUCAGAUUUAUACAGUGGCUAGAUGUUGGAUUCGAGACUUCUGAUGAAUUCUGGAUGAUAGAGAUUGGGUUCUAAGGUUUAAGGACCGAACUCGAAAUAAGGACCUCCAGUUAUGUUAUGUUGGAGGGCUAUGUGGAUCAGGAUGACGUGGGAUCACCCCCGGGUUGAUGCUUGGCAAGGUUGCAUCGGGAUUUGAUAGCUUUGGAAGGACUCCUAGAACGUUCGAUGAUGAACCUGUGUUUAAGUGGUGGAGGAUGUAACGACCUGAUUGGUUAUUUUGAGUAUCUGCACUUUGCUCGGUGAUGCGAGGGCUCGAUUAUCUCCGCAUGAUGUAUUAUGACUUGCGUAAAUCAUUGGUGUUGGUUUUCAAGUUAUCUGGAAUCGGUUUGGAAGAAAGAACUUCAAGAUUUAAGUUCUAAAUUGGAAGAAUUUACUAAGUUUGACUUUUUAGCAUUUGACCUCAGAAUGAAGUUUCUCAAUUCUGUUAGCUCUGUUGGGUGAUUUUGAACUUAGCAGCACGUCCGGAUUGUAAUUUGGAGGUUUGUAGUCGAAUUAGUCUAGAAUUGGCGAAAGUUGGAUUUUUAUGAAGUUUGACUGGGAGUGGACUUUUUGAUAUCGAGGUCGGAUUCCGAUUCUAGAAGUUGGAAUAGGUCUAUAAUGAAAAAUGUGACUUGUGUGCAAAAUGUGAGGUCAAUCAGAGGUGAUUUGAUAUGUUUCGGUAUCAAUUGUAGAAGUUGAAGUUUCAAAGUUCAUUAAUUUUGACUUGAGGUGUGAUUCGUCGUUUCAUAGUUGUUAUUUGUGAUUUGAAGCUUUGAGUUGGUUCAUUUUGUCAUAAAGAACUUGUCUGCAUAAUUUGGCACCAUUUGGAAUUGAUUUGAUAUAAUUCGGACGAUAGGUUGUAAUUCUAGAAGUUCUUGAAGUAUAAGUAAGCAAAUGGUUGUAUGUUUCUGCAUUAUUUUUUAUUUUGAGGUCAUGCAACUCAUGGACACUACAAGUUUUACUUUUGUAUAGACGAAGGUUUUAGAUAGUGCUUCAUUUAAUUGCUGAUGAUUGGUGUAACGAUUUACAAAUAUGUAAAUAAAAACAUUUAGUAUCAAAGUAGCAAAUGGAACAUUCUGUGUAAAAAAUAUAUGGAAUCAACUAUUGAUAGUUGUAUUAGGAUAAGUUGCUUGCACCACGCGCUAUUUGAAUUUUUUUUUACUUUUUUCCGAAAUUUUACAAUUCUUAUGUCCAAACACUCACUAAAUGUGUAAAACUCAUAUAGAGUUCAAGGCAAUAGUCAAAACAAAAAAUAAGCUUACUCCUUGAAAUUUUAUUCUUGAAUUUAUGUUACAUACAUGCGGAGUAUCCCAUGGAGACAUUAUUCUGACAUGUGUAGCAAAGCUUAAUUAGUUGCCACAACUCAAAACUCAACUAGCUUUUUUCACAGAAGUGAGUGAACCAGAAGAGAAACUCACUGAAUCAUACCUUUGAAAAAUAUAAGCCACAAUCAAAGAAGCAGUAAGAGUAACAACAUCCUUAGCCGCACAUUGUUUGUUUGAUUCAGUUGGUCUCCCACUCUGUGGUCCAUUUGACCAAAACAAAAAAUUCAGCAAUUCUUUUCCUUUUUCCUUUGUAAACCUUUCCAACACAAAUUUUCCAGGAUCAUCAAACACCUUUGGAUCUCUCAUUACCAAUGGCUGAUACCCACAAAGAAGUUCACCUUUCUUGAUUUCAUAUACUGAAUCGUGUGAACUUAGCUUAAAAUCUUUUCUUGCUCUUGCAUAUUGAGUUGGCACUGGUGGACUAAGUCUAAGUGUUUCAUAUACAAAAGAUUGAACAAGUUCCAUUUCUUUAACACUCUCAAAACUCAAAUUUUCUGGCUUUAAUCCAACUUUCUCUCUCACUUCAUUUCUUAACUUCUCUUGUAAUUCUGCAUUUUUUUCAUCUCCAAG
This 4418-nucleotide long non-coding RNA is filed under the name Nicotiana benthamiana. RNAcentral describes it as "long non-coding RNA (NBEN_LNC035753)". Lineage: Eukaryota; Viridiplantae; Streptophyta; Magnoliopsida; Solanales; Solanaceae. The record is from RNAcentral.